AUUGAACGCUGGCGGCAGGCCUAACACAUGCAAGUCGAGCGGAUGACGGGAGCUUGCUCCUUGAUUCAGCGGCGGACGGGUGAGUAAUGCCUAGGAAUCUGCCUGGUAGUGGGGGACAACGUUUCGAAAGGAACGCUAAUACCGCAUACGUCCUACGGGAGAAAGCAGGGGACCUUCGGGCCUUGCGCUAUCAGAUGAGCCUAGGUCGGAUUAGCUAGUAGGUGAGGUAAUGGCUCACCUAGGCGACGAUCCGUAACUGGUCUGAGAGGAUGAUCAGUCACACUGGAACUGAGACACGGUCCAGACUCCUACGGGAGGCAGCAGUGGGGAAUAUUGGAAAAUGGGCGAAAGCCUGAUCCAGCCAUGCCGCGUGUGUGAAGAAGGUCUUCGGAUUGUAAAGCACUUUAAGUUGGGAGGAAGGGCAGUAAGUUAAUACCUUGCUGUUUUGACGUUACCGACAGAAUAAGCACCGGCUAACUCUGUGCCAACAGCCGCGGUAA
Molecule: ribosomal RNA, 500 nt
Filed under: uncultured bacterium
Lineage: Bacteria
Description: partial 16S ribosomal RNA
Rfam family: Bacterial small subunit ribosomal RNA
Source: RNAcentral